GGGUGAUUAGCUCAGCUGGGAGAGCACCUCCCUUACAAGGAGGGGGUCGGCGGUUCGAGCACGUCAUCACCCACCA
RNAcentral lists this transfer RNA (76 nucleotides) under Escherichia coli. RNAcentral's name for it is "tRNA-Val". It matches the Rfam family "tRNA". From Rfam's summary of the family: Transfer RNA (tRNA) molecules are approximately 80 nucleotides in length. Their secondary structure includes four short double-helical elements and three loops (D, anti-codon, and T loops). Lineage: Bacteria; Pseudomonadati; Pseudomonadota; Gammaproteobacteria; Enterobacterales; Enterobacteriaceae. The record is from RNAcentral.